UACAGAGGGGGCAAGCGUUGUUCGGAAUUACUGGGCGUAAAGGGCGCGUAGGCGGCCUGCUAAGUCGAACGUGAAAUCCCUGGGCUCAACCCAGGAACUGCGUCCGAUACUGGUUGGCUUGAAUCCGGGAGAGGGAUGUGGAAUUCCAGGUGUAGCGGUGAAAUGCGUAGAUAUCUGGAUGAACACCGGUGGCGAAGGCGACAUCCUGGACCGGUAUUGACGCUGAGGCGCGAAAGCCAGGGGAGCAAACGGG
RNAcentral lists this ribosomal RNA (253 nucleotides) under uncultured bacterium. Its description in RNAcentral is "partial 16S ribosomal RNA". It matches the Rfam family "Bacterial small subunit ribosomal RNA", at positions 524 to 776 of the family's 1533-position model. The record is from RNAcentral.